GAAAUGCUAAAGGGAUUUCUUCAUUCUGAAAGAAAAGGAUGUUAAUAAACAAUAAGAAAUCACCUAAAGGUAGAAAACUCACUGGUAACUGUAAGCACAGAGAAAAACAGAAUAGUAUAACAUUGUUAUCACAGUGUGUAAACUUCUCUUGAGUUAAGUAGAAACACUAAACAGUGAACCAGUAAAUCAUAACUACAACUUUUCAAGACAUAGACAGUACAAUAAGACAUAAAGAGAAAAAACAAAAAGUUAAAAAGCAAGAGGACAAAGUUAUAGAGUUUUAAUAUUAUUUUUGAAUGUUUAUGAAAGCAGUGUUAAGUUGUCAUCAGUUUAAAAUAAUUAGUUAUAAUAUUUGCAAGCCUCAUGGUAACCUCAAAUCAAAAAAUAUACAACAGAUACACAAAAAAUAAAAAGCAAGAAAUUGAAGUGUACUGCAAGAGCAAAUCAUCUUCACUAAAAGGAAAACAGAAAGGAAGGAAAGAAGAAAGAGAAGACCGUCAGUCAACCAGAAAAAAAAAUAAUAAAAUGGCAGCAGUAAGUCCCUAACUGUCAAUAACAACAUUGAAUGUAAAUGGACUAAACUCUCCAAUGAAAAAACAUAGAGUGGCUGAAUGGAUUAAAAAAAAGAAAACAAGACCCAAUGAUCUGUUGCCUACAGGAAGCACACUUCAGCUAUAAAGAUACACACAAAAUGAAAAUAAAGGGCUGGAAAAAGAUAUUUUAUCCCAAUAGAAACCAAAAAGAAGCAGUAGCUGUACUUAGACAAAACAGAUUUAAAGGCAAGAACUAAGAAAAGACAAAGCAGGUUAUUACAUAAAGAUAAAGGGGUCAGUUCAGUAAGAGCAUAUAAUGAUUGUGAAUACAUGUGCACCUAACACUGGAGCACCCAGAUAUAUAAAGCAAAUAUUAGUAGAGCUAAAGAGAGAGGCUGGGUGUGGUGGCUCAUGUCUGUAAUCCUAGCACUUUGGGAGGCCAAAGUGGGAGGAUCACUUGAGCCCAGGAGUUUGAGACCAGCCUGGGUAACAAAGUGAGACCCCAUGUCUCCAAAAAAAAAGCCAGGCAUAGUGGCACCAGCUAUACAUAAGGCUGAAGUGGAAGGAUUGCUUGAUCCCAGGAGGUUAAGGCUGCGGUGAGCUGUGUUUGGACCACUGCAUUCCACCCUGGGCAAAAGCAAAAGAGUAAAUCUUGUCUCGCAAAAAAAAAAAAAAAAAAAAAAAAAAGGCAGACCUCAAUAUAACAAUAGCUAGAGACUUAAAGAGCCCAUUUUCAGCAUUGGACAGAUCUCCCAGACAGAAAAUCAACAAAGAAACAUCAGACUUAAUCUGCACUGUAGAACAAAUGGACCUAAUAGAUAUUUAUAGAACAUUUUAUCCAGUGGCUUCAGAAUACACAUUUUUCUCCUCAACGCAUGAAUCAUUCUCAAAGGACAGGCCAUGUGUUGGGUCACAAAAUGAGUCUUAAAACACUCAAAACAUUGAAACAAUGUCAAGCAUCUACCCUGACCACAAUGGAGUAAAACUUAAAAUCAAUAAUGAGGAAUUUUGGAAACUAUACAAACACCUGGAAUUUAAACAGUGUGCUCCUAAAUGACCAGUGGCCAAUGAAAAAUUAAGAAGGAAAUUGAAAAUAUUAUUGAAACAAAUAAUAAUGGAGACAUAACAUUCCAAGACCUAUGGGAUACAGCAAAAGCAGUACUAAUGGAAAUUUAGAUCUGUAAGUGCCUACAUCAGAAAAGAGGAAAAACUUCAAAUAAGCAAUCUAAUGACGCAUCUUAAAGAAUUAGAAAAAGCAGGAGCAAAGCAAACCCAAAAUUAGUAGAAGAAAAGAAAUAAUAAAGAUCAGCACAGAAAUAAGUGAAUUUGAAGAAACAUACAAAAGAUCAACAAAACAAAAAGUUGGUAUUUUGAAAAGAUAAACAAAGUUGACAAAUCAUUAGCCAGACUAAGAAAAAAAGAAGACCCAAGUAAAUAAAAUCAGAGAUGAAGAAGGAACAUUACAAUGAAUACUACAGAAAUUCAAAGGAUCAUUAGUGUCCACUAUGAGCAACUAUAUGCCAAUAAUUUGGAAAAUUUAGAAGAAAUUGAUAAAUUUCUAGACACAUAGAACCUACAAAGAUUGAACCAUCAAUCAAAAACCUGUAUAGACCAAUACAAGUAAUGUGACCGAAGCCAUAAUAGUCUCCCAGUAAAGAAAAGCGCAGGACCUCAUGGCUUUGCUACUGAAUUCUACCAAACAUUUGAAGAAGAACUAAUACCAAUCCUACUCAAACUGUUCUGAAAAAUGGAGGAGGGAAUACUUCCAAAUUCAUUCUGUGAGGCCAGAAUUACCCUGAUACCAAAACCAGAGAAAGACACAUCAAAAAAACAAAAUUAUAAACCAGUAUCUCUGAUGAAUAUUGAUGGAAAAAUCCUGAAUGAAAUAGUAGCAAACCAAAUUCAACAAUACAUUUGAAAGAUCAUUUAUCAGCCAGGCACGGUGGUUCACAUCUGUAAUCCCAGCACUUUGGGAGGCUGAGGCAGGCAGAUCACCUGAGGUGAUCAUCUGAGGUCAGGAGUUCGAGACCAGUCUGGCCAACAUGCUGAAACCCUGUCUCUACUAAAAAUACAAAAAAAUUAACCAGGCGUGGUGGCACACACCUGUAAUCCCAUCUACUCAGGAGGCUGAGGCAGGAGAAUCACUUGGACCUGGGAGGCAGAGGUUGCAGUGAGCUGAGAACACACGACUGUACUCCAGCCUGGGCAACAGAGUGAGACUCCAUCUCAAAAAAAAAAAAAAAGGCCGGGCGCGGUGGCUCACGCCUGUAAUCCCAGCACUUUGGGAGGCCGAGGCGGGCGG
This 2835-nucleotide long non-coding RNA is filed under the name Homo sapiens (human). RNAcentral describes it as "HSALNT0329491". Lineage: Eukaryota; Metazoa; Chordata; Mammalia; Primates; Hominidae. The record is from RNAcentral.